RNAcentral lists this ribosomal RNA (253 nucleotides) under uncultured bacterium. Its description in RNAcentral is "partial 16S ribosomal RNA". It matches the Rfam family "Bacterial small subunit ribosomal RNA", at positions 524 to 776 of the family's 1533-position model. The record is from RNAcentral.
UACGUAGGUGACCAGCGUUGUCCGGAUUUACUGGGCGUAAAGAGCGCGCAGGCGGUCGUUCAAGUCGAGUGUGAAAGCCCCCGGCUCAACUGGGGAGGGUCACUCGAUACUGAUCGACUUGAAGGCAGGAGAGGGAAGCGGAAUCCCCGGUGUAGUGGUGAAAUGCGUAGAUAUCGGGAGGAACACCAGUGGCGAAGGCGGCUUCCUGGCCUGUUCUUGACGCUGAGGCGCGAAAGCUAGGGGAGCAAACGGG